UACAGAGGGUGCAAGCGUUAAUCGGAAUUACUGGGCGUAAAGCGUGCGCAGGCGGCUUUGCAAGACAGAUGUGAAAUCCCCGGGCUCAACCUGGGAACUGCAUUUGUGACUGCAAGGCUAGAGUACGGCAGAGGGGGAUGGAAUUCCGCGUGUAGCAGUGAAAUGCGUAGAUAUGCGGAGGAACACCAAUGGCGAAGGCAAUCCCCUGGGCCUGUACUGACGCUCAUGCACGAAAGCAUGGGGAGCAAACAGG
RNAcentral lists this ribosomal RNA (253 nucleotides) under uncultured bacterium. RNAcentral's name for it is "partial 16S ribosomal RNA". It matches the Rfam family "Bacterial small subunit ribosomal RNA", at positions 524 to 776 of the family's 1533-position model. The record is from RNAcentral.